Molecule: ribosomal RNA, 530 nt
Filed under: uncultured bacterium
Lineage: Bacteria
Description: partial 16S ribosomal RNA
Rfam family: Bacterial small subunit ribosomal RNA
Source: RNAcentral
UGGGGAAUAUUGCACAAUGGGCGAAAGCCUGAUGCAGCAACGCCGCGUGAGUGAUGAAGGUCUUCGGAUUGUAAAGCUCUGUCUUUUGGGACGAUAAUGACGGUACCAAAGGAGGAAGCCACGGCUAACUACGUGCCAGCAGCCGCGGUAAUACGUAGGUGGCGAGCGUUGUCCGGAUUUACUGGGCGUAAAGGGUGCGUAGGCGGAUGUUUAAGUGAGAUGUGAAAUACCCGGGCUUAACUUGGGUGCUGCAUUUCAAACUGGAUAUCUAGAGUGCAGGAGAGGAGAAUGGAAUUCCUAGUGUAGCGGUGAAAUGCGUAGAGAUUAGGAAGAACACCAGUGGCGAAGGCGAUUCUCUGGACUGUAACUGACGCUGAGGCACGAAGGCGUGGGUAGCAAACAGGAUUAGAUACCCUGGUAGUCCACGCCGUAAACGAUGAGUACUAGGUGUAGGAGGUAUCGACCCCUUCUGUGCCGCAGUAAACACAUUAAGUACUCCGCCUGGGAAGUACCGAUCGCAAGAUUAAAAC